AGCCGGGUCCCAUACAACAGGAGAGCUGUAAACCCCGCCAGGUCCGAAAGGAAGCAACGGUAGCAAUUCAACUGUGUGCUGUGGGGUGCUCGGCGCUU
Molecule: signal recognition particle RNA, 98 nt
Filed under: Proteobacteria bacterium SG_bin7
Lineage: Bacteria; Pseudomonadati; Pseudomonadota
Description: signal recognition particle sRNA small type
Rfam family: Bacterial small signal recognition particle RNA
About the family: The signal recognition particle (SRP) is a universally conserved ribonucleoprotein involved in the co-translational targeting of proteins to membranes. Archaeal SRP consists of a 7S RNA and homologues of the eukaryotic SRP19 and SRP54 proteins.
Source: RNAcentral